GCGACGGCAUUCGUGACCCAACCAAGUCAGUCACUGUUCAUACCUACAUUCUGUCAUAUCGUCAGCAGUGAAAUCUCGUCUCUUUCCGUCCAAUCGGUAAAACCAUGAGGAAGUCCGUCGCCAUCCUGUUGAUCGUGGCCCUGACUGUGGCCAUGAUGUCCGAGCAGGCUGAAGGAAUAUCCGGUCGCCGUCGUCGGCGUCGUAACCAAGAGGUGGUUAAUCGCCAAAAGCGAGCUGAGUUGGGAGGGGAUGACCCAGUGAAUGAUCUGUUCGAGGAGACCCCCCAGCGCCUGGGUGGAGAAGCCUGACGGAGGAUGCUGUUCAUCCACAGCUGUAAGCACUGGACCAGCUGCCUUCACGAGAAGCCGUGAACACCAAUCCGACUGAUCGUCCAGUAAUGCUUCAUUGCGUGAACAAGCUUAAGCUUAGCUUUUAUGC
Long non-coding RNA from Branchiostoma floridae (Florida lancelet), 438 nucleotides. RefSeq lists it as uncharacterized. The transcript has 4 exons. Lineage: Eukaryota; Metazoa; Chordata; Leptocardii; Amphioxiformes; Branchiostomatidae. The record is from RefSeq and is a predicted model, not a curated record.